CAGUGACCCCUCAGCUGCUUAUACUUGGGCAGGAAGUGGUGGCCCUGGCACUGCAGAGGUUAAGCCGCUGCUGAUCACAGCCACUCACAACUUUUUAGUGUUUACACAUUUCCGUGUUGUCACCAUUUCCUUUCUUCUCCCACAAGCUGUUAAACUAUCUCCCUUUCUGUCGCCCCCCCCCCCCGACCAUGGAUGAGCCCGAUCACGCGAGUGAAAGCCGCACUCCUGCUCCAGCCCUGAGGAGCGCACUUAUCCCGGGAAAAGAGUUCCUGUGCUCGCGUAAGGGUCAGCUGCUGCUGGCAGAAUGGGUUGUUUCUUUUCUCACCUUCAUUUGUUAUGCGGCAUCGACUGCAGUUGGUCUCAUGACUGUACCACUCAUAGAAUUCCUCUGGGCUCUCUUUACAUUCUACGCCUAUUCUUUAAAAUACAAUGAACAGUUAAAGGGAAUUCUUUGGCCUCUUCUGGAUUUUAUCCGUUGUGUGUCAGCUGCCAUCAUUUACUUUGUGGUGUCUCUUGUGGCUGUGUCGAAAUACACAUGUGGGGCAUCCAAAGCUGCUGCGGUAUUUGGCUUUAUUGCCACUAUUAUAUUUGCAAUUGAUUUCUACAUGAUCUUCAAUGAGCUGACCAAGUUUCUUAAAAAAGAAGAUUCCACCGAGGAUCCAGAAAGACAAAAAUCAGAGGCUUCCAGCCAACAAAGUAAGAUCUGAGAGACUGUGAUAGCAAGGCACUUUGCAGUAAUGAUGCAACCUGUAUUGACUGAGAAGACACAGUUUAAUAUAGACAGCUGUGCAUUUUGGAUUGUUUUGAAAUGAAGCACAAUUUGCAAUGUACUACAGCUUUAAAUAAAGAGGAAGUACUGCAACCACAGUAAUGCAGCUGUAUCAUACAAGCCUGAUGAAGACUCGUUUUCUGAUUCGGACUGACCAAGGGCAGUUGCACAGCAGAACAGAUAACACAGGAGAAUCUGCACAGCAGUUUCUUUGGAAAGGAUUAUUUCAAGACCUGAAACAUGUCUGCCUUCUGGAAUGUGAUUGGUCAAGGAGGUUGCCUUUUGAGUGAACAUUAACUCUUAUUCAUCUAAAAAGGAACAUACUCCUUUAUAACAUGGACCACUUUAAGGAGACUGGAGGCACACAGACUGCAAAGUGGAAAAUCCUUUUUUUUUUAAAUUGGCAGAAAUGCCCUAAGUGUUGGUGGGACGCUAUGAAUCGAAGGUGAUAAUGGCAGCCUACUUUUAAAAUGUUUUGUUGGUAAGAGCUGAGUAUGGACCUGAAACUCGGCCCUUGUUACAGGAAGCCUACUUUUCAGUAUUGCGCGUUAACUUUUUACUGUGACUAAAAAUAAAGCCUCAGUUUAUACAACA
This is an RNA transcript of Xenopus laevis (African clawed frog), 1363 nucleotides long. It is a transcript of the gene named CKLF-like MARVEL transmembrane domain containing 3 L homeolog, with no coding region annotated. The record is from RefSeq and is marked provisional. Lineage: Eukaryota; Metazoa; Chordata; Amphibia; Anura; Pipidae. The transcript has 6 exons.